RNAcentral lists this ribosomal RNA (253 nucleotides) under uncultured bacterium. RNAcentral describes it as "partial 16S ribosomal RNA". It matches the Rfam family "Bacterial small subunit ribosomal RNA", at positions 524 to 776 of the family's 1533-position model. The record is from RNAcentral.
UACAGAGGGGGCAAGCGUUGUUCGGAAUUACUGGGCGUAAAGGGCGCGUAGGCGGCCUGUUAAGUCGAACGUGAAAUCCCUGGGCUCAACCCAGGAACUGCGUCCGAUACUGGCAGGCUUGAAUUCGGGAGAGGGAUGCGGAAUUCCAGGUGUAGCGGUGAAAUGCGUAGAUAUGUGGAAGAACACCGGUGGUGAAAACGGUUUACUGGGCUGGAACUGACGCUGAGGCGCGAAAGCAUGGGGAGCAAACAGG